This 445-nucleotide ribosomal RNA is filed under the name uncultured bacterium. Its description in RNAcentral is "bacterial SSU rRNA". It matches the Rfam family "Bacterial small subunit ribosomal RNA", at positions 331 to 792 of the family's 1533-position model. The record is from RNAcentral.
CCAGACUCCUACGGGAGGCAGCAGUGGGGAAUAUUGCACAAUGGGGGAAACCCUGAUGCAGCAACGCCGCGUGAGUGAGGAAGUAUUUCGGUAUGUAAAGCUCUAUCAGCAGGGAAUAGAAAAGAAGGUACCUGAAAAAGAAGCCCCGGCUAACUACGUGCCAGCAGCCGCGGUAAUACGUAGGGGGCAAGCGUUAUCCGGAUUUACUGGGUGUAAAGGGAGCGUAGACGGCCGUGCAAGCCAGGAGUGAAAGCCCGGGGCCCAACCCCGGGACUGCUCUUGGAACUGUGCGGCUGGAGUGCGGGAGGGGCAGGCGGAAUUCCUGGUGUAGCGGUGAAAUGCGUAGAUAUCAGGAGGAACACCGGCGGCGAAGGCGGCCUGCUGGACCGCGACUGACGUUGAGGCUCGAAAGCGUGGGGAGCGAACAGGAUUAGAUACCCCCGUA